ACCCUCGGGGGUAGAGCACUGAAUGAGCUAGGGCCCAUACCAGGGUACCAAACUCAACUAAACUCCGAAUACCGGGGGGUGGAACGCGGCAGUGAGACUGCGGGGGAUAAGCUUCGUAGUCGAAAGGGAAACAGCCCAGAUCAGCAGCUAAGGUGCCUAAAUAGUGCUCAGUGGAAAGGAGGUGGGAUUUCAUAGACAGUGAGGAUGUUGGCUUAGAAGCAGCCACCAUUUAAACAAAGCGUAACAGCUGACUCAUCGAGAGAUCCUGCGCCGAAAAUGAUUGGCGAUAAGCACUAUACCGAAGCUCUGGAUGCACAGUUUACUGUGCGUGGUAGAGGAGCGUUCUCAACACCUUGAAGCCUUAAGGCGACUGAUGGUGGAGCGUUGAGAAGUGAGUAUGUAGACAUGAGUAACGAUAAGCCGGGUUAAAUCCCCGGCCGCCGUAAACCCGAGGUUUCCUGGGCCAUGCUGGUCAUCCCAGGGUUAGUCGGGACCUAAGCCGAGGCCGAUGGGCGUAGGCGAUGGAAACACGGUUAAUAUUCCGUGACGGCCUAUAAUUUAAACUAGAAGGACGCAUGAGUGGAGAAACGACAGUGACUGAUAGUGCUGAACGAGGGAUUCGUCCCGGAUACUGUUUCGAAACGAGUGCCAAGAAAAGUUCUAGUGUAUAGAAUUAGGCCCCCGUACCGUAAACCGACACAGGUGGGUAGGUAGAAUAUACUAAGGCGCAAGAGUGAAACCCUGUUAAGGAACUCGGCAAAUUAGCCCCGUAACUUCGGGAGAAGGGGUCCCGGGACUUGUCCCGGGCGCAGUGAAAGGGCCCAUCCGACUGUUUAGCAAAAACACAGCAUUCUGCGAACACGCAAGUGGAAGUAUAGGAUGUGACACGUGACCAAUGCCAAAAGAUUAAGGGGAGGUGUUAGCCUUCGGGCGAAGCUCUGAUCCUAAGUCCUGGUGAAUGUCGGCCGUAACUAUAACGGUCCUAAGGUAGCGAAAUUCCUUGUCGGGUAAGUUCCGACCUGCACGAAUCGUGCAACGAGAUGGGCGCUGUCUCAACAGGGAGCUCAGUGAAAUUGUAUCCGCGGUGAAGAUGCCGCGUACCCGCAGAAGGACGGAAAGACCCUAUAGACCUUAACUGUACGCUGUCACUGUUUUCUCGAUUUUAAUGCUCAGCAUAAGUGGGAGGCUUUGAACCAUUCCUCUAGGGGAAUGGGGAGCCAUCAGUGAGAUACCACCCUUUAGCAUUGGGAAAUCUAACCUCUAGCCUUUAUCAGGCAGAGGAACCAUGGCAGCCGGUCAGUUUGACUGGGGCGGUCUCCUCCUAAAGAGUAACGGAGGAGCGCGAAGGUAGGCUCAGCGCGGUUGGCAAUCGCGUUUCGAGUGCAUUGGCAUAAGCCUGCCUAACUGCGAGACUUACAAGUCGAGCAGAGACGAAAGUCGGCCAAAGUGAUCCGGCGGUGGAAUAUGGAAUCGCCGUCGCUCAUCGGACAAAAGGUACCUUAGGGAUAACAGGCUGAUCGCGCCCAAGAGUUCAUA
RNAcentral lists this ribosomal RNA (1536 nucleotides) under marine metagenome. RNAcentral describes it as "bacterial LSU rRNA". It matches the Rfam family "Bacterial large subunit ribosomal RNA", at positions 892 to 2504 of the family's 2925-position model. The record is from RNAcentral.